UGUACCGGAAGGUGCACUUGGAAUAUGUCAGAGUAUAGCUAAGAAGUAUAGCAUCU
This 56-nucleotide transfer RNA is filed under the name Melanotaenia splendida inornata (checkered rainbowfish). Its description in RNAcentral is "tRNA-Val". The record is from RNAcentral. Lineage: Eukaryota; Metazoa; Chordata; Actinopteri; Atheriniformes; Melanotaeniidae.